RNAcentral lists this ribosomal RNA (418 nucleotides) under Bacillus thuringiensis. Its description in RNAcentral is "bacterial SSU rRNA". It matches the Rfam family "Bacterial small subunit ribosomal RNA", at positions 104 to 507 of the family's 1533-position model. The record is from RNAcentral. Lineage: Bacteria; Bacillati; Bacillota; Bacilli; Caryophanales; Bacillaceae.
GGGUGAGUAACACGUGGGUAACCUGCCCAUAAGACUGGGAUAACUCCGGGAAACCGGGGCUAAUACCGGAUAACAUUUUGAACUGCAUGGUUCGAAAUUGAAAGGCGGCUUCGGCUGUCACUUAUGGAUGGACCCGCGUCGCAUUAGCUAGUUGGUGAGGUAACGGCUCACCAAGGCAACGAUGCGUAGCCGACCUGAGAGGGUGAUCGGCCACACUGGGACUGAGACACGGCCCAGACUCCUACGGGAGGCAGCAGUAGGGAAUCUUCCGCAAUGGACGAAAGUCUGACGGAGCAACGCCGCGUGAGUGAUGAAGGCUUUCGGGUCGUAAAACUCUGUUGUUAGGGAAGAACAAGUGCUAGUUGAAUAAGCUGGCACCUUGACGGUACCUAACCAGAAAGCCACGGCUAACUACGUG